ACAAGCGGUGGAGCAUGUGGUUAAUUCGAAGCAACGCGAAGAACCUUACCAGGCCUUGACAUGCAGAGAACUUUCCAGAGAUGGAUUGGUGCCUUCGGGAACUCUGACACAGGUGCUGCAUGACUGUCGUCAGCUCGUGUCGUGAGAUGUUGGGUUAAGUCCGUAACGAGCGCAACCCUUGUCCUUAGUUACCAGCACGUUAUGGUGGGCACUCUAAGGAGACUGCCGGUGACAAACCGGAGGAAGGUGGGGAUGACGUCAAGUCAUCAUGGCCCUUACGGCCUGGGCUACACACGUGCUACAAUGGUCGGUACAAAGGGUUGCCAAGCCGCGAGGUGGAGCUAAUCCCAUAAAACCGAUCGUAGUCCGGAUCGCAGUCUGCAACUCGACUGCGUGAAGUCGGAAUCGCUAGUAAUCGUGAAUCAGAAUGUCACGGUGAAUACGUUCCCGGGCCUU
This 456-nucleotide ribosomal RNA is filed under the name uncultured Pseudomonas sp. RNAcentral describes it as "bacterial SSU rRNA". It matches the Rfam family "Bacterial small subunit ribosomal RNA", at positions 925 to 1382 of the family's 1533-position model. The record is from RNAcentral. Lineage: Bacteria; Pseudomonadati; Pseudomonadota; Gammaproteobacteria; Pseudomonadales; Pseudomonadaceae.